AUUGAACGCUGGCGGCAUGCUUUACACAUGCAAGUCGAACGGUAACAGGGUGCUUGCACCGCUGACGAGUGGCGAACGGGUGAGUAAUGCGUCGGAACGUGCCGAGUAGUGGGGGAUAACGCAGCGAAAGUUGUGCUAAUACCGCAUACGUACUGAGGUAGAAAGUGGGGGACCUUCGGGCCUCACGCUAUUCGAGCGGCCGACGUCUGAUUAGCUAGUAGGUGAGGUAAAGGCUCACCUAGGCGACGAUCAGUAGCGGGUCUGAGAGGAUGGUCCGCCACACUGGGACUGAGACACGGCCCAGACUCCUACGGGAGGCAGCAGUGGGGAAUUUUGGACAAUGGGCGAAAGCCUGAUCCAGCCAUGCCGCGUGUCUGAAGAAGGCCUUCGGGUUGUAAAGGACUUUUGUCAGGGAAGAAAACUGUUUGGCUAAUACCCGAAUAGGAUGACGGUACCUGAAGAAUAAGCACCGGCUAACUACGUGCCAGCCGCCGCGGUAA
This 500-nucleotide ribosomal RNA is filed under the name uncultured bacterium. RNAcentral describes it as "partial 16S ribosomal RNA". It matches the Rfam family "Bacterial small subunit ribosomal RNA", at positions 30 to 523 of the family's 1533-position model. The record is from RNAcentral.